AUUAUUACGUGCACCCGGCGAUGAAAGUCGUCGGGGAAGGGUUGAUGGGCAAGUUUGCCCAGGUGAAGCCGUGCAGAGGUUCGUCCCCAAAUGCAAAUUGGGGACGAACCUUUGCAUGGCUUUGUCAACUACUUUUUAGUA
Molecule: small RNA, 141 nt
Filed under: Archaeoglobus fulgidus
Lineage: Archaea; Methanobacteriati; Methanobacteriota; Archaeoglobi; Archaeoglobales; Archaeoglobaceae
Source: RNAcentral